This 1136-nucleotide unclassified non-coding RNA is filed under the name Metschnikowia dekortorum. Its description in RNAcentral is "partial external transcribed spacer". Lineage: Eukaryota; Fungi; Ascomycota; Pichiomycetes; Serinales; Metschnikowiaceae. The record is from RNAcentral.
UUCGUAGAUUUCUGAUGAGAAGACUGGAGGGUGAGAGUGAAAAACUGAUAUUGCUGUUCCUUAGGGGGCAGUGAUUGAAGUGUGGGAGGGUCGUGCAAAGACCAAGACUGAUGGGGUGAAGUAUUUGAAGUGGUGUAGUAUUUGAAGUGUAGAAGAGUCGUGCGAAGACCAAGACGGAUGGGGUGGUGAAGAAGUAUUUGAAGUGUGAGGGUCGUGCGGAGGCCAAGAGGGAUAGAGGGUCGAGAAAUUUUGUGAAGAAAUUUUGUAGAGAAACUUUGUAGAAAUUUUGUGUUCAUUACUUUCGUGUUCAUUGCUUUCGUGUUCAUUGCUUUCGUGUUCAUUACUUUUGUGCUCGUUACUUUUGUGUACAAAUUUUGUGUGUUGUGUGUUUGUGCCUGUGCGUAGUGUGGUUUUGUGUUUUGUAUGGUCGAGGGUCGUGCCUCGCCCAAAUCUAUUCGUAUGGCUUUCAUUUUGCCCUCUAUAUGAUUUCUCUGGUCCCUAAAACACCCCUCCAUUUGAUUCGGGAAGCCAAUUGUCGGGAGCGAUUUUUGAAUAGGAUCCCAAAGUUUUGCAUUCUUGAGUGAGCGCGAGAAAAAGAUAGAAACAGGAGGAAAAAGCGGGGGUGAAAAAUAUAAUAAAGUAUAAUGUUAAAUAAUAAAAAAUAAUGAUAUAUAAUAAAAAGUAAUAAAACAGCCUAAUACAAGGUUAAGCCUUUUUUGAUUGGGAUGUUUUGGCGCGCGCGGGGAGGAAAUUUCCAGGAUUUUACGCAACUUUUGUGAGACUCCAGAAAAAUAAAUAUUUUUGCAGCAGGCAAUCUGCGCGGUUGCAGCAUUUUGCGGCCGGAGGUACUAUAUGAGAGAAAUCUCUUAGGAAUAGUGCGUAUGAAAUUCAUACGUCCAUUCCAUUCGGAAGUAAUUUAUAUGAAUUUUCGUAAUCUAUAUGAAUUUCCAUACAAAUUACCUCCUUGGCCCCGCGAUUUAUCGCUCAAGUCUCGGACUGACAACGUCUCCCCGAGCAAGGUGAAACAGUGGAUUACUAGGCAAUGCCAAAUCUACAAACUCACAGAUCUUUAGAUCUUUUUGCUACGAGUCAGUGGACAAUCUUUAAUUAAUAACUUCUUAUUAGUUAUCUGGUUG